UGAGGGAAAGGCGAAAAGAACCCCGGCGAGGGGAGUGAAAAAGAACCUGAAACCGUGUACGUACAAGCAGUGGGAGCACCCUUCGGGGUGUGACUGCGUACCUUUUGUAUAAUGGGUCAGCGACUUAUAUUCUGUAGCAAGGUUAACCGUAUAGGGGAGCCGGAGGGAAACCGAGUCUUAACCGGGCGUUAAGUUGCAGGGUAUAGACCCGAAACCCGGUGAUCUAGCCAUGGGCAGGUUGAAGGUUGGGUAACACUAACUGGAGGACCGAACCGACUAAUGUUGAAAAAUUAGCGGAUGACCUGUGGCUGGGGGUGAAAGGCCAAUCAAACCGGGAGAUAGCUGGUUCUCCCCGAAAGCUAUUUAGGUAGCGCCUCGUGAAUUCAUCUCCGGGGGUAGAGCACUGUUUCGGCUAGGGGGCCAUCCCGGCUUACCAACCCGAUGCAAACUGCGAAUACCGGAGAAUGUUAUCACGGGAGACACACGGCGGGUGCUAACGUCCGUCGUGAAGAGGGAAACAACCCAGACCGCCAGCUAAGGUCCCAAAGUCAUGGUUAAGUGGGAAACGAUGUGGGAAGGCCCAGACAGCCAGGAUGUUGGCUUAGAAGCAGCCAUCAUUUAAAGAAAGCGUAAUAGCUCACUGGUCGAGUCGGCCUGCGCGGAAGAUGUAACGGGGCUAAACCAUGCACCGAAGCUGCGGCAGCGAACGUAUCACCCAAGACAACUUUACGGAGUUGACGAUUGACGGAGCGAAGCGACGUCAAAGCGUUCAUUAAAGUCGAGUUGGCUUAGGGAUACGUUCGUUGGGUAGGGGAGCGUUCUGUAAGCCUGUGAAGGUGUGUCGUGAGGCAUGCUGGAGGUAUCAGAAGUGCGAAUGCUGACAUAAGUAACGAUAAAGCGGGUGAAAAGCCCGCUCGCCGGAAGACCA
This 928-nucleotide ribosomal RNA is filed under the name Salmonella enterica subsp. enterica serovar Typhimurium. Its description in RNAcentral is "partial 23S ribosomal RNA". It matches the Rfam family "Bacterial large subunit ribosomal RNA", at positions 504 to 1347 of the family's 2925-position model. Lineage: Bacteria; Pseudomonadati; Pseudomonadota; Gammaproteobacteria; Enterobacterales; Enterobacteriaceae. The record is from RNAcentral.